UUCUAUAGGAUUGGUUUGACGAUUUUUUCAACAAAUAGCUUAUGGGUGAUGAGAGCUGGGUUCACACCUGUUACAUCUUUUGGGGACCAAGUGAAAGUGGUUACUCGGCUCUUUAGAAAUUCUACUAGAUGAGUCUUUGUUUCAUUAGUUAACGCAGUGUUGAACCACACCUUUUGCUCCUUACAUAUCUGGACCUCCUCUAUCAGGUCUGCCGGUUCUAGCUUCAUGUGAGAUUUUGACUUCUCCAGCAAGUUGAUGGGCAUGAAUGCUUUUCUAAGACUUUUUGCUGGGUGUUCGUAGCCUUCUUUGGCUAAUCUCAAAUUGCC
This 326-nucleotide long non-coding RNA is filed under the name Manihot esculenta (cassava). RNAcentral's name for it is "long non-coding RNA (MESC_LNC001553)". Lineage: Eukaryota; Viridiplantae; Streptophyta; Magnoliopsida; Malpighiales; Euphorbiaceae. The record is from RNAcentral.